UUCUCCUCUCUGUACCUCCGUCUGGCUUCUCCUCCAUGAUAGGAGUAUAAAAAGGAGUAUAGUGCCAUGAUUGACAGCUCUGUUGACAGCAAACGUCUUCCUUCAACAAAAGCCCCACUGCUGACACGACCUUCACGACACAGACCAAACCUCCUCAAGAAUCCACUUCGUUUCAGGAGCUCUUCCUGGGGAAUACCAGUAGUCCCGUCAUGUCUUCAGUAUUAUCUGUCCUUUACAGCGCACUACCGUUCCUUUACAACUCCUCUGUUUAUCCACAAUCAAUGUGGCCAAUACAGGGGCGUAUUAGGGGCAGUAAGUAUAUUGUAAAUGAAAGUUUAUGGUAAAAUGGCCCAUAAACACGCGGCUGUAUAAGUCUGGAUGAGGUGCCGCGAGAGAUGAUUCUGUGAGCGUUUAUGGACGCUGGCGAGAGGUGAGAGUUAUUUACUCACUUUGUUGUCUUUUCCUUUUAUUUGCAGUAAUUAUUCGACCUGUUUAAGAUGCUGUAAACAUUUUUGAUUGAUGUAAACCCAUUUUUAUAUCUUUCAUGGAUUUCAUGUGGUGUUACAGUUAGGAAUUCUCAAAGGUCAUCCCGCACACUAAAUAAAUAUUUGGGUUUUAUUUUGUUCAAACGUAACGCUUCAUCCUUAAGUCUAAGGGAACAAGUUGGUCACAGUUGCGUUAUACUGUCGACCAUUUUGUUUUGGCGAGGUGAAAGCGUGCCCUGAAAUGGCUGCCACCUCCGUCAGACUGAUGUCACUGUUUGGAGGAGUUUCAGUUCAAACACACAGCACCUGUUUGAUUCUAUGCGUGUGUGUUUGUGUGCGGAUGUGUACGUGUAGUUUCCAGGAAGGACUCACUGAUCUCAUCUCAUAUUGAUACUGUUCAUGAUAACUACCUUUUUUCCGGGGAACAACAUCUUUAACGUCCGUGGAAGUGAAGGUGGAAAAUCUGAUUUCUCUCAACAACGUUAUUAUUAGAUUGACUACAUUUGAAGACAGUUAAAAACGUUUGUUCACAUUUGUUGCAUAGUAACAAAUGUCUAAUAGCUCGACGAUUAUUUCGCAGCUUGUCCUCGACACCCUGAUCCUCGGCGGCCUCUGACUCGCUGCCAGGUGAACGUUUGACCUCGGUGAUAACAGUCGAGGAUGUUGUUCCUCAUUAACAAAGUCAGUGCUCCACAAGAGAGCCGAGCUGAACGGCCUCGGUCAUAAAACCACUCUUUUAACUCUGAGUAGUUUUACAUUCAGUCGCUGUUUACGAGUCAAACGAAAGGAAUCGACUCCGGACCCUCUGUACCUUUGAAUGCAAGAAAUGUCACUACAAAUCUAAAAAUGAACAAAGAGUAAGAACCACACAUUUCAGCAGGUAUCUGUGAAAAUGACACUGUACUCCAGUUAGUCUUAUUUAGGUUUUUAUUUAUCUGGUGCAGGAUUUAUUCAGCAUUAUUGACAUAUUAUUGAUAACAAGAUGAGGAUAAGGAGUGCACACCUUUUGAUUUGUAUUAGCCUUAAGAAUUUAAAGCCAUCAUUCUGUACGCCUUUUAAGAUGCAAUAAUGACCGAAUGUCCAAUAAACACUCAAAACUGCACAGAAAGCACUCGUCAUAAUACUCCUUUUACCAACAGUUGAAUUCACAUGUAUAUAUAUUUGUUUUAAACAUGCGCAGCAAGUUUCAUUAUUCAAAGUGCUAUAGAAUAAUGUUUUAUUUUAAUUCAGUUGCAGCUGAAGACUCAAAAACAGUUCACCUGGUCAUCAAAGUAUUGAUCAGAGCGCCUCA
This is a non-coding RNA of Labrus bergylta (ballan wrasse), 1776 nucleotides long. Lineage: Eukaryota; Metazoa; Chordata; Actinopteri; Labriformes; Labridae. The record is from RefSeq and is a predicted model, not a curated record.